RNAcentral lists this long non-coding RNA (1031 nucleotides) under Equus asinus (donkey). Its description in RNAcentral is "lncRNA (ENSEASG00005038766.1)". Lineage: Eukaryota; Metazoa; Chordata; Mammalia; Perissodactyla; Equidae. The record is from RNAcentral.
GCCUAGCAGGCUCUUCGCGCCUUGUCCGCUUCUGUCUGAGGCGCCUCUCCUGACACUGCUGCCCUGCCCUUCGCCCCUGGGGCCUCCUCGGGCACCCCACAGACUGUUGUCCCCUCAGCGGCGCACUCCUCUGCCGCCCCGUCGGUCCGCCUCAGGCCGGGCCCCACUGCCCACAGCCUCCCCUCAGCGGCGGCCACCUCGGGGGCCACCAUCUUUGCUGUCGACGCCACAGCCUGAUCGCCGCCCCAGUUGAGGUACCGCCUGGCGCCAUGUCUGCCGCAGGAGAAGGAGACCUGGCCGCAGGUGGCCUGGACAGGCCUGUGGGCGUGCCGGGGGCGUGGGCCCUGGCGGCGGGCUGGUCGGCGACUCGGGGCCCCAGGGGGCGGCGAGAGUCACGGCGGCGGCGGCGGGAGCCCUCGGGGAGGCGGCGGGGGAGCCGGGGGCCGGCGGCCCGGAGGGCGGGAGCGCCGAGGAGGACUCGGACAUCGAGCCGGCAGAGGAGGGCGAGGAGGCGGCGGCGGGCCGCCUGGCGGUGGACGCGGCGCAGUUCCCGCGGGCGAGCUUACGCCUCCUGUUCCUGGAGUUCGCGCAGUUACUGCUGCGCCGCCUCUUCUACAAGAACCACGUGCUGCUACGGCCCUGGCCUCCAGCGCCCGACGGCUAGGCCCAGCGCCCCGCGCCCCGCGGGCCGGCGCCGCCAGAGCCGGCCGCCUGCGCCCUGCCGCCUGGUCCAGAGCCCGGGUGAGGGCCGCGACCCAGGAGCCGGGGGCGGAGGCCGCCGCCCCGGAGGAAACAACUAAAUAUCGGUGUGAAAACUCGAAUGAAGAGGCCCACGACGCUGAAGACAAGGACGAAAAAGAGAGAGUUUAACAAAAAACAAGAAGGACCCGAAAACGCUCUGGACCCCACAGACAGCACACCGAGAAAAUCCAGUUGGGAGGAAUAGAAAGAAGAUGGAGAAAGAAGAACGAACCUGCUCUUCACCCUUUAGGUUUUUCGUUUUUUAGAAGCCCAAGGGAAUUUUAUCAACA